Long non-coding RNA from Gasterosteus aculeatus aculeatus (three-spined stickleback), 427 nucleotides. The record is from Ensembl. NCBI's taxonomy places the organism in Eukaryota, Metazoa, Chordata, Actinopteri, Perciformes, Gasterosteidae.
AGGAGCCAACGGAGCCAACGGAGCCAAAGGGGCCAAAGGAGCCAACGGAGCCAACGGAGCCAAAGAAGCCAACGAAGCCAAAGGAGCUAAAGGAGCCAACGGAGCCAAAGGGGCCAAAGGAGCCGACGGAGCCAACGGAGCCAAAGGGGCCAAAGGAGCCAAAGGAGCCAAAGGAGCCAAAGGAGCCAACGGAGCCAAAGGGGCCAACGGAGCCAAAGAAGCCAACGGAGCCAAAGGGGCCAACGGAGCCAAAGAAGCCAACGAAGCCAAAGGGGCCAAAGGAGCAGAGGUGCUGGAGAUUAUGGAGAGAUCCCCAACAAUUACAAUCCACAAAACUGAUAUGAGACAAAGUCGAAAAAUAUAGAAAUGAAAAUGCAUCUUGACGUUUAGUGUCUGACUUCCACCUAAAAGCUUCUCUGUCGCUGCU